GGUCGGGGAAAUAAGAUCCCAAGCUGCUCGGAAUGCAUGCAUGCAUGCAUAAAUACAUACAUACAUACAUACUCAGAAGGAGGCACUAGGGGGCUCCUGAGGUUCUGGUUGAGCUGUGUUUCUUAUUCUGAGAGCUGGUUGUAUGAAUACGUUGUUUGUGAAAAUUAACUGAGCCAAACAUUUUGGUAUGUGCACUUCUGUGUGUAGUAAACUUAAAAAUUUCGUUUUUUUAAUGAGGUUCUCUGAAUGGAAGCAUUUGAGAACCACUGAUUUAUCAAGCCUACGGAACGCCAAACACUGCCAGAAAGAACAGCUCAAGAAGGCACGGCCCCUGCUUUCAGAGCUUCUGCAACCUGCGGCACACGGAACUUACCUGACCAGGGAUUGAACCCACAUCCCUUGCAGUGGAAGGCAGAGUCUUAACCACCAGACGGCCAAGGAAGACCCUACUUAACAGAGGCUGAAAACAGUUGUCAAGGAUUCUGUGGAAAGAAUUUCUUUGUGGAUGUGAAGUUUGACCUUUAAGAAUACAUCAUUUGGCAACCAACCAACUGGAUCUCUCCUGUUCAGCUUGCACACUUAAGGGUGAUUGGUUUAUUGUUCUUUAACUUCUGACCUUGCUGUUCCUCCCUGAAUUUAAGGUACUACUGUUACCCCUGGGCAUAGAAUAUCCAGAUAUGCCCUAUCUUCUAGCUUUAUGCCUAGGUCCUCUCUUUUAACCUUAUUUAUCUUUUACUCUUCUGGCUAAGAGAGCAUCUGAAACACCAUCUGUUAGGAAAGUGGGAAUGAUUUUCCCCUUUGGAGUUGAGUGAUGCAAAUCUCUGAUGGCUGUGUCUUCAGAGAAUAACAAAGCAAAGCUCACUCAGUGUUGGGUGCAAACUUGAAGUUUCCGUCAUUUCUUCCCUUACGCAAGUCCAGGCUAUUUUGGCAAUACUAAGAAAGGGAGAGAGAGACAGAUGGUAGGAGGGUUGCUGGUGAUAAAUGAAGCAGGUACCACCAUCUGAAGAGAUUUGGAAAGCACUCUGAUCUUUGCUUUGGAGUUCACUGAAUCUCCAUUAUUUUCCCAGUCCUUUGGGGUCAGGACCUUGAGUGGCUCCCUCACGGUCAACCCUUGGAACUCUUGCUGACACUGUCUCAUUCAUCCUGUUAACCUCCCUGUGGUAGACAGGUGCAGUUAUCACUAGGCUAUUGUAGGGGAAAUGGGAACACUGGGGCCAGGAAAGCUUCUAAUUUCUCAGUGGAAUAGACUGGGUUUUGUCACUCUUUCAUUCCACUGUUUCCAUCUGUACUUCCUCUUUGAGGAAAAGAAAUGAGAGAAGGAACAUAGCUUUCUGCUUUUCUCAGGAAUCUGGAGAUCUCCAAGGGCAGAUCUGGGGGCCCAAUAUUCAUCUCUUUACUGAGUCUUGUCUGUCUGGUCUUUUCCUACUUUGGUCCACCCUCCUUCUUGCUGGCCUUAUUGUGAAAGGAAGGGCUCUUUCCCCUCCUCUCCUUUCUUCCGCCCUCCCCCAUUUACCAUUUUUUCCUUUUACCUCUCCACUGUGGCCUCUUGACCUCCCCACAGAGUUACAAAAGUAAAAUCCUUGAAGAGAUGCUGCUGUGGGAAUGUUAAUGAGCCUUCCCCACAAAGGGGCAAAGACUUUACUUCACUGAGUUGGAAAAAAGCCCCUUUGAAAAGGGGUUUCUGUGUGUGGUGAAGUGGAGAGGGGAGGGGAAGGAGAGAGAGGGAGAGAGAGGGAGAAAAGAAGGGAGGGAGAGAAAGAGCAAGAGAAUGAAAGGAGAGAGAGAAAUGAGAGAGAGAGAGAGAGAGAGAUUGAGAGAAACAGCAGAAGAGAAUAUUAAAACAACACUGUUCUUUCUUUAAUUGGUGAUUUAAUUUUUGGAAAAUGUUCCAUAGUCAUUUGACCUCGUAAACUAAGCAUUUAAGUUCCCAAAAAAGCUGAAGAGGCACUCAAGGGCGUUGAAGAUAAUAAAGGAUGGGAAAAAGGGACUUAUCCUGGCACCCUGUCCCCAGUUCCUUCUCAUGUGUGGGAGACUGAGAGGCUCUAGUGGGGGAGGAUAUUCUGGAUGGGGGAGUUGGUGGUGAAGAUGGGCUUCUUAUUCUGGUUUUGUGGUUCCUCCUUAUGAUAUUUUCUAAUUUUAUCAACAUUUUCUAUUUUGGCUUCCCUAUUGACUUAAAAUUUUUCCUCUCUUCAGGAAUAGCUUAAAGUACUGUUGGGUGUUUACAUUGUGGAGCCAAUUUUCAAGCCAGACCACUUGAGCAUAAUCUCUGUAUCCUUCAUUUGUGAGCACAGGUUGCCUGUGAAUUAGUUAAAAUGGAUGUUAAGGUACUGUUAGUAUCAAAAAAAUAAGUCCCUGAAAAGCAAAGAUAUGAUGUUGCUUUUUAAAAAAAUUGAAGCAUAAUUGAAUGUUGUUGCUCUUUGAAGAAAGCCUGUCAUUAUGUUUGACUCUCAGAGAUUUUCCUACGUGUUGUUUUGUGAUAUCAGCAUAACACUCCAGUUAAAGAAGCCCAGAACUGUGAAGAACAAAGAGAAGGUAGGUGAUUGGAAUGAGAUCCAUUGGAAGAGAAAGAAGAGGGGCCAGUCAGGGAUGCUAAUUCCCAGAGCUCUGUAACUCCUCUGGACUCAAGGUAAUCAACCACAUGGGGAAUUUACCGAGAAUUCGCAUUCCUAACCUCUACCCCUGAUCUACUUAAUCAAUCUCUGGCGGGGUGGGGGGGUGGGGUGGAGCCUACGAUUUAAAAAUAAGCUCUUAAAUGAUCCUUUUGCAGUUUGAGACAAUUGAGCUUGACUGUUGCUUUCUAAACCAUAAGCUCUAGAUUCUUAGGGGUCUGCAGUGUUGUUGCAGCAGAAUCCAUGUACACAUGAAGUGAGCCCAGCCUGUGGCCCCAAUAAAUAACAUGCCUCUCAAAUGUAUAUACUACUGUUGCCCAAAUGUUUGUUGAUGUUGUUGAGUGUAAUACACUUUUAAGUCACUGAAAGUGUUUCUAGACUCAUAAUGGCUUUUGCUCUAACAAUACAACUACAGUCAUGUGGGAGUCCAGGAAAUUCUUUGCCAUUUCAUUGAAGGCCUCUUCUCUCCAGACAAUACCCUGUUUCUAGUUUGUAGAGGAGCAGGCACUGUGGAAGCAUUUCAUCUACCUUCCUGAAAGUUAGAAUCCCAUGAGGAAUUUGAUUUUAAUUGCACGAGAACUAAACUAGGAGUCUAGAAAGCAUGUAACCUUUCUAUUGAUAACCUUAGUCAUAGCUAAUCAUAGCUUGGGUGCAUUCUGCUUACUACGCCCUUUAAUUGCACCGUCUCAUUUAAUCCUUAAAAUAACUUUGCAAGGUAAACAUUGUAUAAUCCCCAUUUUAGACAAGCAGAACACCCCAUUUUACAAAUGAAGACACUGAGGCAUGGAGACGCAAAGUAGCUUUCUUGUUCAAGGUCUUACAGCUGAUAAACAGCAGGUUGAAAUUUGCCCAAAUUUGCCUGAUUGGACAGCCUGUGUUUUUUUCGCCACAGUGUGACCAUUUAUUGCCAUCCCACUGAUUUCUGCCUCUGCUAUAGGCCUCACUUUCUGGGUGCAGACCUGGAGGAUGACAAACUUUCAACUUACAGAGAAAAUGUGAAGACUUACAAAAGAAACUAUGAAAGAAGUAAAGGAAAGAACAUUAUAACAAUUAGCUAAGCUCCCCUUGCAUAGUUGGAGAAAACUGGAAGAAGAAUUUACCGAGAGUGGGCAGGGGCGAGCUCCGCGGCGCGAGCCGCACGAAUGAGAGAAACGUGCCCCUCGCGAGGCGUCGCGCGCGCCCGGGACAGGGAGCCAAUGAGAACGCUGGGAGGGCUCGAGACCCG
This is a long non-coding RNA of Orcinus orca (killer whale), 3834 nucleotides long. RefSeq lists it as uncharacterized. The transcript has 5 exons. Lineage: Eukaryota; Metazoa; Chordata; Mammalia; Artiodactyla; Delphinidae. The record is from RefSeq and is a predicted model, not a curated record.